Molecule: non-coding RNA, 327 nt
Organism: Podarcis lilfordi (Lilford's wall lizard)
Lineage: Eukaryota; Metazoa; Chordata; Lepidosauria; Squamata; Lacertidae
Source: the annotation of a GenBank genome assembly
AGAAGCGGAGGGCGAUCUGGCUGCGACAUCUGUCACCCCAUUGAUCGCCAGGGUUGAUUCGGCUGAUCUGGCUGGCUAGGCGGGUGUCCCCUUCCUCCCUCACCGCUCCAUGUGCGUCCCUCCUGAAGCUGCGCACUCGGUGGAAGAGGACGACCAUCCCAGAUAGAAGGAGUGUACCGUUCUUCGGUCAAGGGUAUACGAUAGCUGUGCUCCCCUGCUAGAACCUCCAAACAAGCUAAAGGUAUUCAAUACAGUGUUUUGUCUUCCUCGUAGCCAAGCUAUUUUUGAAGUUUAUUUUUCUAUUAUGAUGUAUUUUUGUUAUUCCAA